Molecule: ribosomal RNA, 426 nt
Filed under: uncultured prokaryote
Description: bacterial SSU rRNA
Rfam family: Bacterial small subunit ribosomal RNA
Source: RNAcentral
CAAGGAAUUUUGCGCAAUGGGCGAAAGCCUGACGCAGCAACGCCGCGUGGGGGAAGAAGGCCUUCGGGUUGUAAACUCCUUUUGCGAGGGACGAAGAUCUGACGGUACCUCGCGAAUAAGCCACGGCUAACUACGUGCCAGCAGCCGCGGUAAUACGUAGGUGGCGAGCGUUGUCCGGAUUCACUGGGCGUAAAGCGCGCGCAGGCGGGCCGGUCAGUCCGGGGUGAAAUCUCACGGCUCAACUGUGAGGGGUCCCCGGAUACUGCCGGUCUUGAGGUACCUAGAGGAGAGUGGAAUUCCCGGUGUAGUGGUGGAAUGCGUAGAUAUCGGGAGGAACACCAGUGGCGAAAGCGGCUCUCUGGGGGUGACCUGACGCUGAGGCGCGAAAGCGUGGGGAGCGAACCGGAUUAGAUACCCGUGUAGUCC